UUUUCUCUUUCUCUUUUAAACACACCCUCCUCCACCUGCUGGGAAGGCAAAGGGAACAAUGAGUGCUGUGGUAUUUCACAGGUCAGGGUUUGUUCUCCUGGCUGGCUGAACAGUCCCUCUUUUCCCAGCACCUGGACAGCUCAGGAGGUCCUGUGGACAGCUGUGGGUCUGAAAGCUGCUGUUCUCCCAAAGGCACACAGCAAUUUCUUCAGUACUUCAAGCUCUGUAUUUGUUGAAGUCGCUGCCAGUGAUUGGUUUUUCUUCUUCUGACCAUCCCUGUAAAACAAAGCUCAGAGAGAAGGAUCUGACAGCCAGAACUCCCUUGGGAUACCAAAGGCCUUGACCCUCAGACCUGCCCAGCCACUGCUGCCCGUCCUGCAGGAAAAGAGGCUGAGAAUCCCCAGCUGAGCCACAUUUGCAGCGUGCUGGG
Non-coding RNA from Sturnus vulgaris (Common starling), 430 nucleotides. The record is from RefSeq and is a predicted model, not a curated record. Lineage: Eukaryota; Metazoa; Chordata; Aves; Passeriformes; Sturnidae.